Molecule: ribosomal RNA, 943 nt
Filed under: uncultured archaeon
Lineage: Archaea
Description: bacterial SSU rRNA
Rfam family: Archaeal small subunit ribosomal RNA
Source: RNAcentral
CUGGUUGUCCUGCCGGACCCCACUGCUAUCGGGAUGGGACUAAGACAUGCUAGUCGAGCGCCUUCCAGCUAUGUGGGAGGAGCGGCGUACAGCUCAGUAACACGUGGCUAACCUGCCCUUGGGAUAGGGACACCCCCGGGAAACUGGGGCUAAUCCCCAAUAGGCGGAGAACUCUGGAAUGAGUCUCCACCCGAAAAGACGUUUAGAUCAUGCUUCUAGGCGUCGCCCAAGGAUGGGGCCGCGACCGAUCAGGUUGUUGGUGAGGUAAUGGCCCACCAAGCCUAUAACCGGUGCGGGCCGUGAGAGCGGGAGCCCGGAGAUGGGCACUGAGACAAGGGCCCAGGUCCUACGGGGCGCAGCAGUCGCGAAACCUUUGCAAUACACGCAAGUGUGACAGGGUCAUCCCGAGUGCCGACCGCUGAGGUUGGCUUUUACCCAGUCUAGAAAGCUGGGGGAAUAAGGAGAGGGCAAGUCUGGUGUCAGCCGCCGCGGUAAUACCAGCUCUCCGAGUGGUGUGGACGUUUAUUGGGCCUAAAGCAUCCGUAGCUGGCUGAACAAGUCCCCUGUUAAACCCACCGAUUUAAUCGUUGGUCUGCGGGGGAUACUGCUCGGCUAGGGGACGAGAGAGGCAGACGGUAUUCCCGGGGUAGGGGUGAAAUCCUAUAAUCCCGAGAAGACCACCAGUGGCGAAGGCUGUCUGCUAGAACGCGCCCGACGGUGAGGGAUGAAAGCUGGGGGAGCGAACCGGAUUAGAUACCCGGGUAGUCCCAGCUGUAAACGAUGCAGACUAGGUGUUUGGACGGCCACGUGCCGUUCUAGUGCCGCAGGGAAGCUGUUAAGUCUGCCGCCUGGGGAGUACGAUCGCAAGAUUGAAACUUAAAGGAAUUGGCGGGGGAGCACCACAAGGGGUGAAGCUUGCGGUUUAAUUGGAUUCAACGCCGGG